Molecule: ribosomal RNA, 252 nt
Filed under: uncultured bacterium
Lineage: Bacteria
Description: partial 16S ribosomal RNA
Rfam family: Bacterial small subunit ribosomal RNA
Source: RNAcentral
UACGGAGGGUGCGAGCGUUGUCCGGAUUUAUUGGGUUUAAAGGGUGCGUAGGUGGCUUUAUAAGUCAGUGGUGAAAUACAGCCGCUUAACGGUUGAGGUGCCAUUGAUACUGUAGAGCUGAAACAAUUGGAGGCUGCCGGAAUGGAUGGUGUAGCGGUGAAAUGCAUAGAUAUCAUCCAGAACACCGAUUGCGAAGGCAGGUGGCUACGUUUGAUUUGACACUGAGGCACGAAAGCAUGGGGAGCAAACAGG